ACUCCUACGGGAGGCAGCAGUGGGGAAUAUUGCACAAUGGGCGCAAGCCUGAUCCAGCAAUACCGCGUGCAGGAAGAAGGCCUUCGGGUUGUAAACUGCUUUUGUACGGAACGAAAAGGUCUUGGUUAAUACCUGGGGCUCAUGACGGUACCGUAAGAAUAAGCACCGGCUAACUACGUGCCAGCAGCCGCGGUAAUACGUAGGGUGCGAGCGUUAAUCGGAAUUACUGGGCGUAAAGCGUGCGCAGGCGGUUAUGUAAGACAGGUGUGAAAUCCCCGAGCUCAACUUGGGAAUUGCACUUGUGACUGCAUAACUAGAGUGCGGCAGAGGGGGAUGGAAUUCCGCGUGUAGCAGUGAAAUGCGUAGAUAUGCGGAGGAACACCGAUGGCGAAGGCAAUCCCCUGGGCCUGCACUGACGCUCAUGCACGAAAGCGUGGGGAGCAAACAGGAUUAGAUACCCUGGUAGGUCAGU
Molecule: ribosomal RNA, 472 nt
Filed under: uncultured bacterium
Lineage: Bacteria
Description: bacterial SSU rRNA
Rfam family: Bacterial small subunit ribosomal RNA
Source: RNAcentral